CUAAACUGGGAAAUUAGGAAUCUCGCUGAUUCCAACGCUUUUACUGGUAAUGUCAUGUCAGCCGGGUGAAAGACCUGCAAAAGAAGAGCAGGAAAAUGAGGAGAGCUGGAUGGACCACAAUAUUAGCUCUCCUAAUUUUCUGAUGCUGCUGCCACAUCUUGCACAACGCGGUCUGGACCAGCCAACUAGUUAAGGGGUGCAAGGUAAUCCACGUACGUGCCAUGUCGCACAACAUAUGUAAAGAUAGGAAUAUUCCCAUUCCUAUUGAUACAGCACAACCAGAUUUUGAAGAACAGCAGCACGACAACUUGCAAGAAGUGUCACUACUUCCAACUAGUUAACGAAAUUCAAGUUGCCUGUAUUGAGAUGAAUUCUGCAACUUACAUUUUGACAAUCCUGCCUGAAGCAUAGACCUCCUACCCCUCAGCAGACUUGGCCAGUCCCAUGCCAAGCUGCUUCCUGUGCCUGUGGAGCUUCUCAACAGAAUCUGGGUUGCCUGUAUUGAGCAAUCCUGCCUGAAGCCUGCACCUCCUGUUCCCUAUGAACACUUGGCUAGUCACGUGCUAAAGUAGCUGCCUCUUGAGCAAGGGCAUUAAGUGGCUGAGACUAUCUUAUCUGCACAGCCACUUCUGCCUCUUCAUCUUUCCUUGUUGGAGUGGACAGAAUGGGUUGAGGCUCUUCUACAAGGAAGAUUGUCCCUCGGCAUUUUGCUCAUCA
This 717-nucleotide long non-coding RNA is filed under the name Portunus trituberculatus (swimming crab). Its description in RNAcentral is "uncharacterized LOC123517693, transcript variant X1". Lineage: Eukaryota; Metazoa; Arthropoda; Malacostraca; Decapoda; Portunidae. The record is from RNAcentral.